Molecule: ribosomal RNA, 372 nt
Filed under: uncultured organism
Description: bacterial SSU rRNA
Rfam family: Bacterial small subunit ribosomal RNA
Source: RNAcentral
CGUAGGUGGCAAGCGUUGUCCGGAAUUACUGGGUGUAAAGGGCGUGUAGGCGGGAAGGUAAGUCAGAUGUGAAAUUCCAGGGCUCAACUCUGGCGCUGCAUCUGAAACUAUCUUUCUUGAGUGCUGGAGAGGGAAGCGGAAUUCCUAGUGUAGCGGUGAAAUGCGUAGAUAUUAGGAGGAACACCAGUGGCGAAGGCGGCUUUCUGGACAGUAACUGACGCUGAGGCGCGAAAGCGUGGGGAGCAAACAGGAUUAGAUACCCUGGUAGUCCACGCUGUAACCGAUGGAUACUAGGUGUAGGAGGUAUCGACCCCUUCUGUGCCGCAGUUAACACAAUAAGUAUCCCACCUGGGGAGUACGGCCGCAAGGUUG